CCUACGGGGGGCAGCAGUGGGGAAUAUUGCACAAUGGGCGCAAGCCUGAUGCAGCCAUGCCGCGUGUGAAGAAGGCCUUCGGGUUGUAAAGCACUUUCAGCGGGGAGGAAGGCGGUGAGGUUAAUAACCUCAUCGAUUGACGUUACCCGCAGAAGAAGCACCGGCUAACUCCGUGCCAGCAGCCGCGGUAAUACGGAGGGUGCAAGCGUUAAUCGGAAUUACUGGGCGUAAAGCGCACGCAGGCGGUCUGUCAAGUCGGAUGUGAAAUCCCCGGGCUCAACCUGGGAACUGCAUUCGAAACUGGCAGGCUAGAGUCUUGUAGAGGGGGGUAGAAUUCCAGGUGUAGCGGUGAAAUGCGUAGAGAUCUGGAGGAAUACCGGUGGCGAAGGCGGCCCCCUGGACAAAGACUGACGCUCAGGUGCGAAAGCGUGGGGAGCAAACAGGAUUAGAACCCCGGUAGUC
This 462-nucleotide ribosomal RNA is filed under the name uncultured Klebsiella sp. RNAcentral's name for it is "bacterial SSU rRNA". It matches the Rfam family "Bacterial small subunit ribosomal RNA", at positions 338 to 795 of the family's 1533-position model. Lineage: Bacteria; Pseudomonadati; Pseudomonadota; Gammaproteobacteria; Enterobacterales; Enterobacteriaceae. The record is from RNAcentral.